Molecule: ribosomal RNA, 393 nt
Filed under: uncultured bacterium
Lineage: Bacteria
Description: partial 16S ribosomal RNA
Rfam family: Bacterial small subunit ribosomal RNA
Source: RNAcentral
AUACGGAGGAUGCGAGCGUUAUCCGGAUUUAUUGGGUUUAAAGGGUGCGUAGGCGGGCUGUUAAGCGUGAGGUGAAAGCUCGGGGCUCAACCCCGGAACUGCCUCGCGAACUGGCGGUCUUGAAUGUCCGUGCCGUGGGAGGAAUGUGUGGUGUAGCGGGGAAAUGCAUAGAGAUCACACAGGACACCGAUUGCGAAGGCAGCUCACGAACGGAUGAUUGACGCUGAGGCACGAAAGCGUGGGGAUCAAACAGGAUUAGAUACCCUGGUAGUCCACGCAGUAAACGAUGAUAACUAACCGCUGGUGCGCAAGUAUCAGUGGCCAAGCGAAAGCGAUAAGUUAUCCACCUGGGGAGUACGACCGCAAGGUUGAAACUCAAAUGAAUUGACGGGG